This 394-nucleotide long non-coding RNA is filed under the name Gossypium barbadense (sea-island cotton). RNAcentral describes it as "long non-coding RNA (GBAR_LNC011898)". The record is from RNAcentral. Lineage: Eukaryota; Viridiplantae; Streptophyta; Magnoliopsida; Malvales; Malvaceae.
GGGAGAUUUUGGAUUCUAUCUCAUUCGGCUAAAAACAGAAGCCGAAAGCAAUUGUAAAAAAGGGAUCCCCAUUCUUGUACACACGCAUAUUUCAGAAAUAAAAGAGCAAAAACAAAAGAAAAAGGUUACGUUUUUUUCAAUUUCUGAUUUCUUUUUUUCUUUUUUCAUUUUUGAUUUUGCUUUUAAGCUUCAAGAACAAGAAAUAAAAAGAAGAAGGGGAGAAAACUUACCCGAACCCCUGGGUCACACCGUCGGCGGUUCCCUCAGUCGUCGGAGCCGAACCCAAAACGGGUGGAGAUCCCUUCAUUUUCGGGUUUUCUUGGUUAAAAAAUCUUAGCCUUCAUACCUGGUUGAAUCGGGGGCUAAAAACCCACCCUUGAGCAUCGCCAGCCAC